Molecule: long non-coding RNA, 378 nt
Organism: Oncorhynchus tshawytscha (Chinook salmon)
Lineage: Eukaryota; Metazoa; Chordata; Actinopteri; Salmoniformes; Salmonidae
Source: Ensembl
ACCAUGGGACUAGAUACUGUGGGACUAGGUACUGUGGGACUAGAUACUGUGGGACUAGAUACCAUGGGACUAGAUACCAUGGGACUAGAUACUGUUGGACUAGAUACUGUGGGAAAGAUACCAUUGGACUAGAUACUGUUGGACUAGAUACUGUGGGACUAGAUACUGUGGGACUAGAUACCAUGAGACUAGAUACCAUGGGACUAUAUACUGUGGGACUAGAUACCAUGGGACGAGAUACUGUUGGACUAGAUACUGUGGGAAAGAUACCAUUGGACUAGAUACUGUUGGACUAGGUACUGUGGGACUAGAUACUGUGGGACUAGAUACUGUUGGACUAGAUACUGUGGGACUAGAUACUGUGGGACUAGAUACCAU